CCUUAUCUACAGGCAUCAAGUCAAGUAGCACCACGAAACCAAACAUCACUAUAAUGAUUGCUCAGACCGCCGUCGUGCUGGCACUGGUGGCCGUGGCUGUAGCUGCCCCCUCCCAGCCCUCCUACGGCUACACCCCCGCACCCGCCUACGAGGAGCCAGCCAAGUACGACUUCAACUACGCCGUGAAGGACGACUACUCUGGCAACGACUUCGGCCACCAGGAGUCCCGUGACGGCUAUGACAUCCAGGGCUCCUACUACGU
This is a long non-coding RNA of Homarus americanus (American lobster), 262 nucleotides long. RefSeq lists it as uncharacterized. The transcript is spliced from 3 exons. NCBI's taxonomy places the organism in Eukaryota, Metazoa, Arthropoda, Malacostraca, Decapoda, Nephropidae. The record is from RefSeq and is a predicted model, not a curated record.